This 397-nucleotide ribosomal RNA is filed under the name uncultured bacterium. Its description in RNAcentral is "partial 16S ribosomal RNA". It matches the Rfam family "Bacterial small subunit ribosomal RNA", at positions 523 to 918 of the family's 1533-position model. The record is from RNAcentral.
AUACGUAGGGGGCGAGCGUUGUCCGGAAUGACUGGGCGUAAAGGGCGUGUAGGCGGCUGUCUAAGUCUGGAGUGAAAGUCCUGCUUUCAAGGUGGGAAUUGCUUUGGAGACUGGAUGGCUUGAGUGCGGAAGAGGUAAGUGGAAUUCCCAGUGUAGCGGUGAAAUGCGUAGAGAUUGGGGGGAACACCAGUGGCGAAGGCGACUUACUGGGCCGUAACUGAAGCUGAGGCGCGAAAGCGUGGGGAGCGAACAGGAUUAGAUACCCUGGUAGGCCACGCGGUAAACGAUGAAUGCCAGGUGUUGCGGGUAUCGACCCCUGCAGUGCCGGAGUAAACACAAUAAGCAUUCCGCCUGGGGAGUACGGCCGCAAGGUUGAAACUCAAAGGAAUUGACGGGG